CCCUUAGAUGUUCUGGGCCGCACGCGCGCUACACUGUUCGACGCAGCGAGCCUUAACCUUGACCGAAAGGUUUGGGUAAUCUUCAGCAAAGUCGAACGUGAUGGGGAUCGAUCAUUGCAAUUAUUGAUCGUGAACGAGGAAUACCUAGUAAGUGCGAGUCAUCAGCUUGCGCUGACUACGUCCCUGCCCCUUGUACACACCGCCCGUCGCUGCCCGGAACUGAGCCGUUUCGAGAAAGCUGGGGACUGACGGCUUGUGGGUGCGCAAGCACUUCUUGCCGAUGGAAACCAGUUUAAUCGGUAUGGCUUGAACCGGGCAAAAGUCGUAACA
Molecule: ribosomal RNA, 330 nt
Filed under: uncultured eukaryote
Lineage: Eukaryota
Description: partial 18S ribosomal RNA
Rfam family: Eukaryotic small subunit ribosomal RNA
Source: RNAcentral